Papaver somniferum (opium poppy) is the source of this 229-nucleotide long non-coding RNA. RefSeq lists it as uncharacterized. Lineage: Eukaryota; Viridiplantae; Streptophyta; Magnoliopsida; Ranunculales; Papaveraceae. The transcript is spliced from 3 exons. The record is from RefSeq and is a predicted model, not a curated record.
UUGCAACAAGGGAACACCUGCCUCUCUAGGAUCUCAUUUGUUGUUAUGGAUGAGGCUGACAUACUGUUGGACAUGGGGUUUGAGCCGCAGAUAAGAGAGGUGAUGCGGAAUGUUCCCAUAAAGCGCCAAACGUUGCUGUUUAGUGCAACAAUGCCAGUAGAAAUUGAAGCCCUUGCGCAGAAGUACCUUAGUGACCCAGUGCAAGUGAAGGUUGGAAAGGUUCAGGGAG